UCCCUGAAGGACUAGUGGUUAGGCCACAGCGUUCUCACCGCUAUGGUCCGGGUUCGAAUCCUGCCUAGGGAA
Molecule: non-coding RNA, 72 nt
Organism: Pangasius djambal
Lineage: Eukaryota; Metazoa; Chordata; Actinopteri; Siluriformes; Pangasiidae
Source: the annotation of a GenBank genome assembly